AUACGGAGGAUGCGAGCGUUAUCCGGAUUUAUUGGGUUUAAAGGGAGCGUAGGCGGGAGCUUAAGUCAGCGGUUAAAUGGUGCGGCUCAACCGUGCCCUGCCGUUGAAACUGGGUUUCUUGAGAGUGCAAGAGGCGGAUGGGAUUUCUGGGGUGACGGGGAAAUGCUUAGAUAUCAUGAAGAACUACGAUUGCGAAGGCAGUCCGCUGGGGCACGUCUGACGCUGAUGCUCGAAGGUGCGGGAAUCAAACAGGAUUAGAUACCCUGGUAGUCCGCACGGUAAACGAUGAUUACCCGCUGUCGGCGGCAGACAGUCGGCGGCCAAGCGAAAGCGAUAAGUAAUCCACCUGGGGAGUACGCCGGCAACGGUGAAACUCAAAUGAAUUGACGGGG
This 392-nucleotide ribosomal RNA is filed under the name uncultured bacterium. RNAcentral describes it as "partial 16S ribosomal RNA". It matches the Rfam family "Bacterial small subunit ribosomal RNA", at positions 523 to 918 of the family's 1533-position model. The record is from RNAcentral.